RNAcentral lists this ribosomal RNA (253 nucleotides) under uncultured prokaryote. Its description in RNAcentral is "partial 16S ribosomal RNA". It matches the Rfam family "Bacterial small subunit ribosomal RNA", at positions 525 to 777 of the family's 1533-position model. The record is from RNAcentral.
ACAGAGGGUGCAAGCGUUAAUCGGAAUUACUGGGCGUAAAGCGCGCGUAGGUGGUUUGUUAAGUUGGAUGUGAAAUCCCCGGGCUCAACCUGGGAACUGCAUUCAAAACUGACAAGCUAGAGUAUGGUAGAGGGUGGUGGAAUUUCCUGUGUAGCGGUGAAAUGCGUAGAGAUGCGGCGGAACACCGAUGGCGAAGGCAGCCCCCUGGGCAGAGAUUGACGCUCAGGCACGAAAGCGUGGGGAGCAAACAGGA